RNAcentral lists this ribosomal RNA (304 nucleotides) under uncultured bacterium. RNAcentral describes it as "partial 16S ribosomal RNA". It matches the Rfam family "Bacterial small subunit ribosomal RNA", at positions 509 to 807 of the family's 1533-position model. The record is from RNAcentral.
CAGCAGUCGCCGCGGUAAUACCGAGGGUGCGAGCGUUAAUCGGAUUUACUGGGCGUAAAGCGUGCGUAGGCGGCUUCUUAAGUCGGAUGUGAAAUCCCUGAGCUUAACUUAGGAAUUGCAUUCGAUACUGGGAAGCUAGAGUAUGGGAGAGGAUGGUAGAAUUCCAGGUGUAGCGGUGAAAUGCGUAGAGAUCUGGAGGAAUACCGAUGGCGAAGGCAGCCAUCUGGCCUAAUACUGACGCUGAGGUACGAAAGCAUGGGGAGCAAACAGGAUUAGAUACCCCCGUAGUCCCUGUCUCUUAUAC